GCCGGGUGUGGUGCACACCUGUCAUCCCAGCAGCUCAGGAGGCUGAGGCAGGAGGAUCGCAAGUUCAAAGCCAGCCUCAGCAACUUAGUGAGGACCUGAGCAACUCAGUGAGCCCCUGUCUCUA
This 124-nucleotide small RNA is filed under the name Marmota monax (woodchuck). Lineage: Eukaryota; Metazoa; Chordata; Mammalia; Rodentia; Sciuridae. The record is from RNAcentral.